GUUUCUGUAGUGUAGUGGGUCAUCACCUUUCGCCUAACACGCGAAAGGUCCUCGGUUCGAAACCGAGCAGAAACA
Molecule: non-coding RNA, 75 nt
Organism: Cyprinus carpio (common carp)
Lineage: Eukaryota; Metazoa; Chordata; Actinopteri; Cypriniformes; Cyprinidae
Source: the annotation of a RefSeq genome assembly